This is a long non-coding RNA of Chinchilla lanigera (long-tailed chinchilla), 2306 nucleotides long. RefSeq lists it as uncharacterized. The transcript is spliced from 5 exons. Lineage: Eukaryota; Metazoa; Chordata; Mammalia; Rodentia; Chinchillidae. The record is from RefSeq and is a predicted model, not a curated record.
GGUAACUCCACCUGACCGGGGCUAGCCUGUCUUUAUUUUCUAAAUCCUCUCGCCGUUUUCUCCCGGGGACCAUAGAGAGACCACCGACUCCCACAGCCUCUAAAAGCUUGGAACCCCUGACUUUGAAUGAAUGAAGUCCUGAAACACCUAGAGCUUUGACUGGCUUACACUAUUGGAAGUUUCCUCAAAAUUUAGAAAAGCUAUCUUUCCAUCUAAAAGACAAGUACUGGAAUGGUCUUGAAGGUGGCAGUGGCUGAUGAUGUGACCCUGAAGCAAAAGACCUUGAGUCUCACAGAUUUCUGGACAGGAAACAAAGACUUCCUGCGCUGCAUAUGAGCUGAUAAUUUGUUGGCAUAAAUGCAUCAGGCCACAAUGCCAAAAAGACAUCUUGCAAAAUAUUGGACAUAAUUUUGGGAAGAACUGUUAAGAUUUAUAAGUUUCUAUUUUGAAAGCAAUCAUAAAUUCCAGAGUUAGAGUUUAUUCACAAUUUACAAAAAUAAUUUUAAUUGUAUAGAGCAAGGCUAUUAAAAUUUUAGGGUUCUUAAUUUUCUAUGAAUUCUAGCUAUGACAAUUCAAAGAUUUCAAGAAAUUUAACAGAAGUCACUUGUUAGUGGUAGAACUUGAAGCAGAUUCUAAGAUCCUGGUUUUAGUAUAUAAGUUUUGAGCAAAGAAAAUGUAAGUCAGUAUUCACCUAAAUCUUGCAUGGACUGAAUCAUUUAAUUGUUUGGGCAAAACAUGGUACUAUGGGUAAAAAUAAACUGUAUUUCAGAAAAGAAGAGCUAAGUUUGAUACAGGUAAGUAUAUUUCAUCUGCUAGUUUGGGUGGACUUUAUCCUCAUAAAAUGUGGUCUAGUUAGAAGUAAUAAAUUUUGUUUAGGCUAUAUUUUUUAACAAGACUCUUUAUAGUGAAAAUCAUUCAUCCAAACCUCAAAAUCUUGAUUUUAAUUUGGAUCAGCCUGAACAGUUUAUCUCUUUCAAACAAUUCCUCAAGGGUCAUAACUUAACAUUUUGAAAAAGUAAGUGGGGAAUAACUGAGAAUGCUUGAACUCAUACUCUAAAAAGAACUGCAUGGUUUAUUGCACCAUCAGUUAAAACAUAAAUAUGUUCCCCAAACCAAAAAUAAUCUAAAAUAUGGUUGCAAUAUUAAUUAUAAUCCUUUCUCUUUAAUAAAUCAAAAUUUUCCUCAUUCUGUAGUUAAUAAAAUUGCCUGUUUUACCCCCCUGAGGUUCAGCAAGUCUACUGCACUCUUUUGCAGUGCAGUAUUUGCUGUCCUGUCUUAGUGUCCUUUGAUGGUUACAAUCCAAUUCAUUCUACACAACAAUGGCCAUUAAAUGAUAUAAUACAUUAAUCUAUGCACACAUUCUACAAGCUUGUUGGACAACCAUGUGUGGAGCAAUUUUUUCAUGACAAUAUAACAGAAAGUCAAAUAAAUUCUUGCUUUCAUGAGACUUACACUCCAGAGGGAACAGAAUAUUUGAACAGAUAUCAAUAGAAUAUCCUGUGUCUUCCAAGCCUUGUGCUGGAAACAAACAUGAAUAAAAAUGAAAGUAUGUGAAAAUUUAAUAAAAUACCUUUUCCUAAAAAUUAAAAAUAAAUAAAUAGGCUUAAAAGGAUUGAAAAAGAAUACUUUCAGUUACUUUCCUGGUACUGGUUUGGGGAAGACUAAUAAUGAUCUCAAUGAAACAGAAUGGUAACAGUAAUGUUUUGACUGUAAACUACCUUCCUCCAUCCCCAGCUCCCCAGCACAAUCACUGGAAGCUUCAUUUUAAUUUCCGUCAAGAAUCUGAAUGAUUUAAAUGCUUAUUCUAACAUUUGCUCUAUCUCCUUUCAUCCAAGGAUCCUCCGCCCUGUACUGACCAUCCCGAAGCUUUUAUAGAAGGUAUUUCUGAGUCAUUACCUUCACUACUUCAAUACCAGCUCAACACAAUUAUAUUAUAGAAAAAAGUAAAUGUAAAUGCAGUUGUCAUGAUGAGGAGAGGAUUGUGUAAAGUUUAACUGUGAAAACAAUUGAUAUAAUGCAUCAGUGGAAAUGUUUGGGGAUAGUAGCCCCAAGGACAAUGUUUAAGAUGAGAGGAGAGUCAAGGAUGGAACAAGACAUGAAAAUGCUGCUUUAGCUUGUCAGCUUCUGUCAGAUCUUAACCACAUGCUGUCAUUUCUAAGAAUAUGUAUGAAAAAUGACUUGAAGUAUCCAACAAGUGCCUUCUGCCUGGAUUAGUGGAAGUUCCCACCAGUGGAAAGGGCGACGUUAAGGUGAAGUGAAGUUUAAACAGGAAGGUCUUCUCUGGCUAUAAUAAAAGGAAGAAAGAA